CGGAUUAUGAGGAGGUAUUGAUGCAUAAUCCAACACUUGAUCCGAGGGUGGCUUCAGCCACCAAAUGAUGUCAUCUUUGCAUCUGAAUCCGC
Molecule: non-coding RNA, 92 nt
Organism: Brachypodium distachyon (stiff brome)
Lineage: Eukaryota; Viridiplantae; Streptophyta; Magnoliopsida; Poales; Poaceae
Source: Rfam